Molecule: ribosomal RNA, 469 nt
Filed under: uncultured Lactobacillus sp.
Lineage: Bacteria; Bacillati; Bacillota; Bacilli; Lactobacillales; Lactobacillaceae
Description: bacterial SSU rRNA
Rfam family: Bacterial small subunit ribosomal RNA
Source: RNAcentral
GCGAGCGGCGGAUGGGUGAGUAACACGUGGGGAACCUCGCCCCAUAGUCGUGGGAUACCACUUAGGAAACAGGUGCUAAUACCGGAUAAGAAAGCAGAUCGCAUGAUCAGACUUUUAAAAAGGCGGCGUAAGCUGUCGCUAUGGGAUGGCCCCGCGGUGCAUUAGCUAGUUGGUAAGGUAAAGGCUUACCAAGGCGAUGAUGCAUAGCCCGAGUUGAGAGACUGAUCGGGCCACAUUGGGGACUGAGACACGGGGCCCAAACUCCGUACGGGGGGAGGGGCAGCAGGUAGGGGGAAUCUUCCACAAUGGACGCAAGUCUGAUGGAGCAACGCCGCGUGAGUGAAGUAAGGUUUUCGGAUACGUAAAGCUCUGUUGUUGGUGAAGAAGGAUAGAGGUAGUAACUGGUCCUUUAUUUGACGGUAAUCAACCAGAAAGUCACGGCUAACUACGUGCCAGCAGCCGCGGUAAU